RNAcentral lists this small RNA (1383 nucleotides) under Pongo abelii (Sumatran orangutan). RNAcentral describes it as "retained intron". The record is from RNAcentral. Lineage: Eukaryota; Metazoa; Chordata; Mammalia; Primates; Hominidae.
AGAAGCCUGAGGAGCCGGAGAGGGUGCUGGCUGCCGCGCGGCCGAGUGUGUUUUAUGGACCAUGUGCUGCUAUGUAUGCCUGAAGAAGUACUUGAAAUGCAAAUUUGGGGAGACUUUGCCAUAUAAAUGCUUGGCUGGAUUAAGCGCCUAAUUAGGAUGGUUUUUCAACAAGUUGGAGUAAGCAUGCAAUCGGUACUUUGGUCUAGGAAGCCAUAUGGUUCGUCUCGAAGUAUCGUAAGGAAAAUUGGUACUAAUUUGUCUCUGAUUCAGUGUCCAAGAGUUCAGUUUCAGAUUAACAGCCAUGCAACAGAAUGGAGUCCCAGCCACCCAGGAGAGGAUGCGGUGGCGUCUUUUGCUGAUGUUGGAUGGGUAGCCAAAGAAGAAGGAGAGUGUUCAGCAAGACUAAGGACAGAGGUCAGAUCAAGGCCACCCCUUCAGGAUGACCUUCUUUUCUUUGAGAAGGCCCCAAGCAGACAGAUUUCCUUACCAGACUUCUCUCAAGAAGAGCCUCAGCUGAAGACCCCAGCACUGGCAAAUGAGGAAGCACUGCAGAAGAUUUGUGCUCUCGAAAAUGAACUUGCUGCUCUCAGAGCUCAGAUUGCCAAAAUUGUGACCCAGCAGGAGCAGCAAAAUCUCACUGCAGGUGACUUAGAUUCUACCACAUUUGGUACCAUACCACCACACCCUCUGCCUCCCCCACCACCCCCGCCUCCCCCUCCACUGGGGCUCCACCAAAGUAUAUCUGCUGUUGAUCUGAUUAAAGAACGAAGAGAGAAAAGAGCCAAUGCUGGAAAGACUUUGGUUAAGAACAGUCCAAAGAAACCUGAAAUGCCAAAUAUGCUAGAGAUCCUUAAAGAUAUGAACAGUGUAAAACUUCGGUCAGUGAAGAGGUCAGAGCAAGAUGUGAAGCCCAAGCCAGUGGAUGCUACUGACCCUGCUGCCCUCAUAGCAGAGGCUCUGAAAAAGAAAUUUGCUUAUCGGUAUCGAAGUGAUAGCCAAGAUGAAGUUGAAAAAGGAGUUCCAAAGUCUGAAUCAGAGGCCACCUCAGAGAGAGUGUUGGUGAGUUAUUUGCCCAGAUUUCUUUCCUGUUACAUAGAAAUCCAUCCCAUUGUGAAGCACUUGCAUUUUGCAAGUGAUUCACCUGUGUCAUCUGUAAGUUCCAAAGGGAGGUGAUACAGGAUUUGGUCCCUGCCUUACAAGUAGAUCACAGCUGGUUGGGAAAAGGAUGACAUCUUUGCUUAGCAUUUACACUUUUACUUUUCUAACUAUGAAAAUAAUAGUUGUUCAUUUGGAAACUUGAAACUUGUAGAAGAGCAGAAAGAAGAAAGCCAAAGUUAACCCCUGAGCUCACUAAGUAAUCUCCAAUGUUACAUUUUCUAUGCA